UUUGCACGUGGAGAAGAUGAAAGAAAACACAAAACAAAAAGCUAAAGAGGAGAGAAAGAGAUUAGAAUCAAAGGUGCAAUCAAGUGAGUGCAGUUCCUGUGUGGCUGUCUUUCUUAAUGCAAUAUUAGUCAUUCCCAACUUUCAUUUUCAUAGCAUUUGGAGAGAUGCCAGGUUUUUCAAAGCGUAUUCUUUUGUGAAUAAAUUACAAAAAUAC
Molecule: non-coding RNA, 214 nt
Organism: Lactuca sativa (garden lettuce)
Lineage: Eukaryota; Viridiplantae; Streptophyta; Magnoliopsida; Asterales; Asteraceae
Source: RefSeq, a predicted model, not a curated record